GUGGACCUACGGGAGGCAGCAGUAGGGAAUUUUCGUCAAUGGGCGCAAGCCUGAACGAGCAAUGCCGCGUGAACGAGGAAGGUCUUCGGAUCGUAAAGUUCUGUUGAAGGGGAAAAGGAGCGGAGAGAGGAAAUGAACUCCGAUUGAUAUUACCCUUCGAGGAAGUCACGGCUAACUACGUGCCAGCAGCCGCGGUAAUACGUAGGUGGCGAGCGUUAUCCGGAAUGAUUGGGCGUAAAGGGUGCGU
RNAcentral lists this ribosomal RNA (247 nucleotides) under uncultured bacterium. RNAcentral describes it as "partial 16S ribosomal RNA". It matches the Rfam family "Bacterial small subunit ribosomal RNA", at positions 331 to 572 of the family's 1533-position model. The record is from RNAcentral.